RNAcentral lists this ribosomal RNA (918 nucleotides) under Stegana sp. 'corvata'. Its description in RNAcentral is "partial 28S ribosomal RNA". It matches the Rfam family "Eukaryotic large subunit ribosomal RNA", at positions 75 to 804 of the family's 3401-position model. The record is from RNAcentral. Lineage: Eukaryota; Metazoa; Arthropoda; Insecta; Diptera; Drosophilidae.
UUUUCUUAGUAGCGGCGAGCGAAAAGAAAUCAGUUCAGCACUAAGUCACUUUGUCUUUAUGGCAAAUGUGAGAUGCAGUGUAUGGGACGUCUACAAUCUAGUAUGAGAAAUUAAUGAUUUAAGUCCUUCUUAAAUGAGGCCAAUUACCCAUAGAGGGUGCCAGGCCCGUAUAACGUUAAUGAUUACUAGAAGGCGAUUCCAAAGAGUCGUGUUGCUUGAUAGUGCAGCACUAAGUUGGUGGUAAACUCCAUCUAAAACUAAAUAUGACCAUGAGACCGAUAGUAAACAAGUACCGUGAGGGAAAGUUGAAAAGAACUCUGAAUAGAGAGUUAAAUAGUACGUGAAACUGCUUAGAGGUUAAGCCCGAUGAACCUGAAUAUCCAUUAUGGAAAAUUCAUCAUUAAAAUUGUAAUAUCUUUACUUUUUUGUUUUUUUUAACAAAAAGAAAGAAAAUAUUAUAAUGAUAGUGUGCAUUUUUUCCAUAUAAGGACAUUGUAAUUUAUUAACAUAAUAAAAUAUUUAUCAAAAAAUCAUAAACAUAAAGUUUAUUUAAAUUAUUAUGCUUGCAUUUUAACAUAGAAUAAAUGUUAAUGAUUUGAUAAAGUGUUGAUAAAUUUAUCAUAUAUACAAUGCUUUAAUUUUUCGAAAUUAUAUAAUAGCAUAAUUAUCAUUGAUUUUUAUGUUUAUUAUAUGCAUUUGUAUGAUUAACAAUGCGAAAGAUUUAGGAUACCCUCGGGACCCGUCUUGAAACACGGACCAAGGAGUCUAACAUAUAUGCAAGUCAUUGGGAUUUUAUAAACCUAAUGGCAUAAUUAACUUAACUGUUAAUAUAUGGGAUUAGUUUUUAAACUAUUUAUAGUUUAUUAACACAAUCCCGGGGCGUUCUAUAUAGUUAUGUAUAAUAAUAUUUAUAUUAUU